UGAUCCUGGCUCAGGAUGAACGCUGGCGGCGUGCCUAAUACAUGCAAGUCGAGCGAACAGAUAAGGAGCUUGCUCCUUUGACGUUAGCGGCGGACGGGUGAGUAACACGUGGGUAACCUACCUAUAAGACUGGAAUAACUCCGGGAAACCGGGGCUAAUGCCGGAUAACAUGUUGAACCGCAUGGUUCUACAGUGAAAGACGGUCUUGCUGUCACUUAUAGAUGGACCCGCGCCGUAUUAGCUAGUUGGUGGGGUAACGGCCUACCAAGGCGACGAUACGUAGCCGACCUGAGAGGGUGAUCGGCCACACUGGAACUGAGACACGGUCCAGACUCCUACGGGAGGCAGCAGUAGGGAAUCUUCCGCAAUGGGCGAAAGCCUGACGGAGCAACGCCGCGUGAGUGAUGAAGGUCUUCGGAUCGUAAAGCUCUGUUGUUAGGGAAGAACAAAUGUGUAAGUAACUGUGCACAUCUUGACGGUACCUAACCAGAAAGCCACGGCUAACUACGUGCCAGCAGCCGCGGUAAUACGUAGGUGGCAAGCGUUAUCCGGAAUUAUUGGGCGUAAAGCGCGCGUAGGCGGUUUUUUAAGUCUGAUGUGAAAGCCCACGGCUCAACCGUGGAGGGUCAUUGGAAACUGGAAAACUUGAGUGCAGAAGAGGAAAGUGGAAUUCCAUGUGUAGCGGUGAAAUGCGCAGAGAUAUGGAGGAACACCAGUGGCGAAGGCGGCUUUCUGGUCUGCAACUGACGCUGAUGUGCGAAAGCGUGGGGAUCAAACAGGAUUAGAUACCCUGGUAGUCCACGCCGUAAACGAUGAGUGCUAAGUGUUAGGGGGUUUCCGCCCCUUAGUGCUGCAGCUAACGCAUUAAGCACUCCGCCUGGGGAGUACGGUCGCAAGACUGAAACUCAAAGGAAUUGACGGGGACCCGCACAAGCGGUGGAGCAUGUGGUUUAAUUCGAAGCAACGCGAAGAACCUUACCAAAUCUUGACAUCCUUUGACCGCUCUAGAGAUAGAGUUUUCCUCUUCGGAGGACAAAGUGACAGGUGGUGCAUGGUUGUCGUCAGCUCGUGUCGUGAGAUGUUGGGUUAAGUCC
This 1094-nucleotide ribosomal RNA is filed under the name Staphylococcus pseudintermedius. RNAcentral's name for it is "bacterial SSU rRNA". It matches the Rfam family "Bacterial small subunit ribosomal RNA", at positions 14 to 1087 of the family's 1533-position model. Lineage: Bacteria; Bacillati; Bacillota; Bacilli; Caryophanales; Staphylococcaceae. The record is from RNAcentral.